RNAcentral lists this ribosomal RNA (508 nucleotides) under uncultured glomeraceous AM fungus. Its description in RNAcentral is "SSU rRNA". It matches the Rfam family "Eukaryotic small subunit ribosomal RNA", at positions 569 to 1078 of the family's 1831-position model. Lineage: Eukaryota; Fungi; Glomeromycota; Glomeromycetes; Glomerales; Glomeraceae. The record is from RNAcentral.
AGCAGCCGCGGUAAUUCCAGCUCCAAUAGCGUAUAUUAAAGUUGUUGCAGUUAAAAAGCUCGUAGUUGAAUUUCGGGGUUAGUAGAUUGGUCAUGCCUCUGGUAUGUACUGGUCUCACUGAUUCCUCCUUCCUGAUGAACCUUAAUGCCAUUAAUUUGGUGUUUUGGGGAAUUUGGACUGUUACUUUGAAAAAAUUAGAGUGUUUAAAGCAAGCUAAUGCUUGAAUACAUUAGCAUGGAAUAAUGAUAUAGGACGUUCGAUCCUAUUUUGUUGGUUUCUAGGAUUGACGUAAUGAUUAAUAGGGAUAGUUGGGGGCAUUAGUAUUCAAUUGUCAGAGGUGAAAUUCUUGGAUUUAUUGAAGACUAACUACUGCGAAAGCAUUUGCCAAGGAUGUUUUCAUUAAUCAAGAACGAAAGUUAGGGGAUCGAAGACGAUCAGAUACCGUCGUAGUCUUAACCAUAAACUAUGCCGACUAGGGAUCGGAUGAUGUUAAUUUUUUAAUGACUCA